UACGUAGGGUGCGAGCGUUGUCCGGAAUUAUUGGGCGUAAAGAGCUCGUAGGCGGCUUGUCGCGUCGGAUGUGAAAGCCCGGGGCUUAACUCCGGGUCUGCAUUCGAUACGGGCAGGCUAGAGUUCGGUAGGGGAGAUCGGAAUUCCUGGUGUAGCGGUGAAAUGCGCAGAUAUCUGGAGGAACACCGGUGGCGAAGGCGGCAUCCUGGACCGGUAUUGACGCUGAGGCGCGAAAGCCAGGGGAGCAAACGGG
RNAcentral lists this ribosomal RNA (253 nucleotides) under uncultured bacterium. RNAcentral describes it as "partial 16S ribosomal RNA". It matches the Rfam family "Bacterial small subunit ribosomal RNA", at positions 524 to 776 of the family's 1533-position model. The record is from RNAcentral.